UCAUUCUGCCUGUUAUGAUGAUGUACCUACUUUGUACAGGGUCUGAUACUAAUAACAGUACAUGCUAAUCGUGUUAUUCGUGUAAGGGACUUCAGUUGAUGCUCAUCGUUAACAUCACAUUUAUGUUAAAAUGUGUGGUCUAAGAAAUUUAGCGAUUCUGUUCCUGUUUGUUUUAUUUCAUAUGAACCUUUAUAGCUAUUCGCAGCUCAUUGGAGAAGAAAAGAAAUAUGUUUUUCUUGAACAAGCUGUGUUGGAGCGGGUGAGGUCCACAUUGCUAGAAAUGACAAAUACUCUUGAAGCAAGAGUAGGACGUCUGGAAGAGGACAACAAGCGAACAGAAAUGUCAAAGGCUCUUGAAGAAAGACUAGGACUGUUGGAAAAGGAACUGAACACCGUCAAAAAUAUGAAUCCUAUUAAUCCUUCAACAGCCAUGUCAAUAAACAGUUGUCCUGCGAAUCUAUUUCGUUGUGACAAUGGUUUAUGUAUCCCGAGAGAAUGGGUAUGUGACCACGAGAUCGACUGUUCGGACAAAUCCGAUGAGAAAUGUUAACCGUUGAUUGGCUGUCCCGCAUCAAACAACUGCGCCGUUGUUGGUCUUGAGUGUCCCCGAUUUGUGAUGGAUCCAGCGACCUUAUUUUCAAGCUUCAUUUCCAAGGAUAAGCUAGCAUUGUCAAACAGACGACUGGACAGCAGCUAUUACGGGCCAACAGAAAAUGACCGGAAUUACAAAGGGGCACAGGAAUCAACUGUGAUUACCAACCGACAAACAGUGUAAUUCGAAACUGACAUUUAUUACCGAAUGCAGCUGCAUCGGAAAAGGCAAUUUGUUAAAAUAACUAUGUUGGCGGCUGAAAAGGGGCGUGAUCCAUUUUUGCUUAUAAUAUAACAAAGAGUGUAACUAUCUGCAGCCAAUUUAAUGGCGGAAACAUCACGACCUUAAAAACUCUUAGUGACACCACUCUGAUACAGAAAAAUACUUUGAUUCUUCAUUUACUGAGUUGACGGAACCAUCGCUGUGUUUGACAUUAACACGAACAUGAAGAUAUACACCUUUAUCAACAUGGAUGAGUUUAUUAACCGACACGAGCAUUGAUUUUGAAAGCCAAUUUACCUUGUGGUCUGUUUUAGCUUAUACUCUCAUAUUAGGCAAAGGUUGCUAUGGAUACGACAACAGUAGGACAACAUUUCAAACAUUACCUAUUUUUGAUAAUAAAAACGGUGUAUACUAGUGGCAGAAUAAUGACACAGAUGGACGUUUCGUAGUAUAAUUGACAGUUAUUGUGAAUCUGGGAAAUGUUAGAUGUUGGGUUGACAUGUUAUAAUAAUGAUUUUUUUUAUUCUAAUUUAGACAUGAUUGACUACUAUGUUUAGGUGUUUGUCUAGUUUACGAUAUGGCCGUGUUAAGUACAUAAUAUAUACAUAUUACAAACACCAUAUAGACGAAUACGAAAAACCUAAACAUAGGAGACUAAAACACUAAAUGUUAGAUACCAGUUAGUUGAUUAAAUUUUGAUUUAUAUACAUGUUAGUGGAAAGUUAAUGUCAAACACAUAUAUACAAGAAUUUAAAUAAUA
This is a long non-coding RNA of Mizuhopecten yessoensis (Yesso scallop), 1574 nucleotides long. RefSeq lists it as uncharacterized. The record is from RefSeq and is a predicted model, not a curated record. The transcript has 5 exons. NCBI's taxonomy places the organism in Eukaryota, Metazoa, Mollusca, Bivalvia, Pectinida, Pectinidae.